CAGUGAAAUUGAACUCGCUGUGAAGAUGCAGUGUACCCGCGGCAAGACGGAAAGACCCCGUGAACCUUUACUAUAGCUUGACACUGAACAUUGAGCCUUGAUGUGUAGGAUAGGUGGGAGGCUUUGAAGUGUGGACGCCAGUCUGCAUGGAGCCGACCUUGAAAUACCACCCUUUAAUGUUUGAUGUUCUAACGUUGGCCCGUAAUCCGGGUUGCGGACAGUGUCUGGUGGGUAGUUUGACUGGGGCGGUCUCCUCCUAAAGAGUAACGGAGGAGCACGAAGGUUGGCUAAUCCUGGUCGGACAUCAGGAGGUUAGUGCAAUGGCAUAAGCCAGCUUGACUGCGAGCGUGACGGCGCGAGCAGGUGCGAAAGCAGGUCAUAGUGAUCCGGUGGUUCUGAAUGGAAGGGCCAUCGCUCAACGGAUAAAAGGUACUCCGGGGAUAACAGGCUGAUACCGCCCAAGAGUUCAUAUCGACGGCGGUGUUUGGCACCUCGAUGUCGGCUCAUCACAUCCUGGGGCUGAAGUAGGUCCCAAGGGUAUGGCUGUUCGCCAUUUAAAGUGGUACGCGAGCUGGGUUUAGAACGUCGUGAGACAGUUCGGUCCCUAUCUGCCGUGGGCGCUGGAGAACUGAGGGGGGCUGCUCCUAGUACGAGAGGACCGGAGUGGACGCAUCACUGGUGUUCGGGUUGUCAUGCC
This 697-nucleotide ribosomal RNA is filed under the name Escherichia coli. RNAcentral's name for it is "partial 23S ribosomal RNA". It matches the Rfam family "Bacterial large subunit ribosomal RNA", at positions 2034 to 2730 of the family's 2925-position model. The record is from RNAcentral. Lineage: Bacteria; Pseudomonadati; Pseudomonadota; Gammaproteobacteria; Enterobacterales; Enterobacteriaceae.